AUGAUCUGUUGAUAACAAAUUAAAGCCACUGUACCAAGCCAUUAGUUCACUUUGUUACUUCCAGCUUUCCAGUUAUCAAAAAAAUGGAGUAAGGUCUUGAAGACUAAGACCUGGGAUGGGUAACUUCUGCUGAGCUGACAGUCUGGUACAGCAGGAGACCCAGAUGUCAGGUGCGACUGAAGAAACUGGACAACUUGUGGAUAGAAUGAGGGCCUCGUGGAUAAAUUUGAGGAUAAGAAAAAAAAAUACUGUGAAUGUGUACAUUAUCUACUAUAUAUAUACGUAAAAGACAAAGUGUGCAAAUUAUGGAUACAUUUAUAGAAAUUGCUAAAAAUGGUAAUGUAGAUCUAUAUUUAUUGAAACGGAAAGAUGCAGAAGAUGGAUUUCUGUGUGAAAAAUAGUUCAUUUAAAAAACUAUAUUCUCUGUGAAUUUGAAGACUCUGCAUUCCAAGUACUGUUGAAUUUCUCUGAGUGCUGAAUACAGUUAAUUUUUAUGCUCUUUUAUUUACCUUUUUAUGGAAACUAAAUUUUUUUUUACAAUGAGAAGUCAAUAUUUUACCAUCGCAAACAGCAAUAAAACUCUUCCGUUAUAAUAAGAGGGAGUGCAGGUUGCAGAGGGGAGGCGAGGAUGGUGGCAGUUGCUGGAUGCAGGAAGGGACCAAACAGAGCAAGUGUGAGAAGGUGUUGCAUGGAAAGCAAGGCAUUAGCCCAGGGCCGUAGAAGAAAGAGAAAUGAGAGAGGGGCGGCAAGAAUGGCUAAGGACUUUUCUUCUAUUGCCAGUUUCUUCUGUACUUUUGCCCAGAUCAAUAGAGGAAGUCAAAAGAAAAACAAAAAUGAAAACAUGCAAAUGGCAACUUUAGGUGGUAACAUUUCAUUCAGCUUCUCUGCCUUCUCUGGACUAGUGGAUGGAGUGGAAAUUUAUGGGCUCCCAGUUCCUAUCAUGAGCAGCUGGAGAUCUCAACUUCAUCUUGGAGCCCUACCUCACAAAGCAUUUCAAGUUCUCAAGGCGUGUCCCAUGGCUGGAAUGAUGUGCUUCACAGAGAAAGGUAAAAUUUCUCCAAGUCUAACUUUUCUUUUAGGGUUUAAAAAAAACACCUUUUGCGUUUUCUCUCUCUCUCUUUCUCUCAGUCUUUCAGAGUGCAUGGAUACCAACAUAAUUUUAAAAAGUGGAUCAUACGUAAAGUUUAAGGAAGUAUUCUGUUCACUGACAACCACGAGUUCACGAGGCGAUACUUUUUACUAA
RNAcentral lists this long non-coding RNA (1243 nucleotides) under Sus scrofa (pig). RNAcentral describes it as "lncRNA (ENSSSCG00070022965.1)". Lineage: Eukaryota; Metazoa; Chordata; Mammalia; Artiodactyla; Suidae. The record is from RNAcentral.